RNAcentral lists this ribosomal RNA (481 nucleotides) under uncultured bacterium. Its description in RNAcentral is "partial 16S ribosomal RNA". It matches the Rfam family "Bacterial small subunit ribosomal RNA", at positions 28 to 507 of the family's 1533-position model. The record is from RNAcentral.
GAUGAACGCUGGCGGCGUGCUUAACACAUGCAAGUCGAACGAAGCAUUUGCGACAGAUUUUUUCGGAAUGAAGUUGCUUAUGACUGAGUGGCGGACGGGUGAGUAACGCGUGGGUAACCUGCCUUGUACUGGGGGAUAGCAGCUGGAAACGGCUGGUAAUACCGCAUAAGGGCACAUUGUGGCAUGACAUGGUGUGAAAAACUCCGGUGGUAUAAGAUGGACCCGCGUCUGAUUAGCUAGUUGGUGAGAUAACAGCCCACCAAGGCGACGAUCAGUAGCCGACCUGAGAGGGUGACCGGCCACAUUGGGACUGAGACACGGCCCAGACUCCUACGGGAGGCAGCAGUGGGGAAUAUUGCACAAUGGAGGAAACUCUGAUGCAGCGACGCCGCGUGAGUGAAGAAGUAAUUCGUUAUGUAAAGCUCUAUCAGCAGGGAAGAUAGUGACGGUACCUGACGAAGAAGCUCCGGCUAAAUACGUG